Molecule: transfer RNA, 68 nt
Filed under: Perdix perdix (grey partridge)
Lineage: Eukaryota; Metazoa; Chordata; Aves; Galliformes; Phasianidae
Description: tRNA-Lys
Source: RNAcentral
CAUUAAGAAGCUAUGAAUCAGCAUUAGCCUUUUAAGCUAGAGACAGAGGAACCUCCCCUCCUUAAUGA